RNAcentral lists this ribosomal RNA (374 nucleotides) under uncultured prokaryote. Its description in RNAcentral is "bacterial SSU rRNA". It matches the Rfam family "Bacterial small subunit ribosomal RNA", at positions 524 to 896 of the family's 1533-position model. The record is from RNAcentral.
UACGGAGGGUGCGAGCGUUAAUCGGAAUGACUGGGCGUAAAGGGUUCGUAGGUGGUUUAUUAAGUUGUUGGUGAAAUCUCCGGGCUUAACCUGGGGUUGACGAAUGAAACUGAUAGACUCGAGUAUAGGAGAGGGUAGUGGAAUUUCCGGUGUAGCGGUGAAAUGCGUAGAGAUCGGAAGGAACACCAGUUGCGAAGGCGGCUACCUGGCCUGGUACUGACACUGAGGAACGAAAGCGUGGGGAGCAAACAGGAUUAGAUACCCUGGUAGUCCACGCCGUAAACGAUGUCAACUAGCUGUUUCUCAUAUAAAGAUGGGGAGUGGCGAAGCUAACGCGAUAAGUUGACCGCCUGGGGAGUACGGUCGCAAGAUUA